This 440-nucleotide ribosomal RNA is filed under the name uncultured bacterium. Its description in RNAcentral is "partial 16S ribosomal RNA". It matches the Rfam family "Bacterial small subunit ribosomal RNA", at positions 338 to 795 of the family's 1533-position model. The record is from RNAcentral.
CCUACGGGGUGCAGCAGUGGGGAAUAUUGCGCAAUGGGGGCAACCCUGACGCAGCAACGCCGCGUGAUUGAAGAAGGCCUUCGGGUUGUAAAGAUCUUUAAUCGGGGACGAAUUUUGACGGUACCCGAAGAAUAAGCUCCGGCUAACUACGUGCCAGCAGCCGCGGUAAUACGGAGGAUGCGAGCGUUAUCCGGAUUUAUUGGGUUGAAGGGGGGCGCAGGCGGCGUGUCAAGUCAGCGGUAAAAUGUCGGGGCUCAACCCCGGCCGGCCGUUGAAACUGGCGUUCUCGAGUUGGAGAGAAGUAUGCGGAAUUCGUGGUGUAGCGGUGAAAUGCAUAGAUAUCACGAAGAACCCCGAUUGCGAAGGCAGCAUACCGGCUCCACACUGACGCUGAGGCACGAAAGCGUGGGUAUCGAACAGGAUUAGAUACCCCUGUAGUC